UUUCCGGUUGAUCCUGCCGCCGGCCACCGCUAUCAAGUUCCGACUAAGCCAUGCGAGUCAAGGUAUCGUAAGAUGCCGGCAAACUGCUCAGUAACACGUGGAUAAUCUAACCUUGAGUAAGGGAUAACCUCGGGAAACUGAGGAUAAUACCUUAUAAUUGCUUAAAACUGGAAUGUUUAAGCAAUAAAAGUUCCGACGCUCAAGGAUGAGUCUGCGACCUAUCAGGUAGUAGGUGGUGUAAUGGACCACCUAGCCUCAGACGGGUACGGGCCCUGGGAGGGGUAGCCCGGAGAUGGACUCUGAGACAUCAGUCCAGGCCCUACGGGGCGCAGCAGGCGCGAACACUGUGCAAUGCGCGAAAGCGCGACACGGGGAGCUUGAGUGUCUUGGCAUAGCCAAGACUUUUCUCAUUCCUAAAAAGCAUGAGGAAUAAGUGCUGGGUAAGACGGGUGCCAGCCGCCGCGGUAACACCCGCAGCACAAGUGGUGGUCACUUUUAUUGAGCCUAAAGCGUUCGUAGCCGGUUUUGUAAAUCUUUAGAUAAAGCCUGAAGCUUAACUCCAGAAAGUCUGAAGAGACUGCAAGACUUGAGAUCGGGUGAGAUUAAACGUACUUUCAGGGUAGGGGUAAAAUCCUGUAAUCCCGGAAGGACGACCAGUGGCGAAAGCGUUUAACUAGAACGAAUCUGACGGUAAGGAACGAAGGCUAGGGUAGCAAACCGGAUUAGAUACCCGGGUAGUCCUAGCUGUAAACACUGCUCAUUUGAUGUUGCUUUUCCGUUGAGGGAAGGCAGUGUCGGAGCGAAGGUGUUAAAUGGGCCGCUUGGGAAGUAUGGUCGCAAGACUGAAACUUAAAGGAAUUGGCGGGGGAGCACCGCAACGGGAGGAAUGUGCGGUUUAAUUGGAUUCAACGCCGGA
RNAcentral lists this ribosomal RNA (916 nucleotides) under uncultured archaeon. RNAcentral describes it as "bacterial SSU rRNA". It matches the Rfam family "Archaeal small subunit ribosomal RNA", at positions 1 to 922 of the family's 1478-position model. The record is from RNAcentral.